UGAAGUCUUUGGAUGACUUGUGGUAAGGGGUGAAAGGCCAACCAAAUUCGUAGAUAGCUGGUUUUCCGCGAAAACUAUUUAGGUAGUGCGUUGAAUAAAUAUGUAUUUAGAGGUAGAGCACUAAAUGGGCUAGGGGGAAGAGAUUCUUACCAAACCUAAUAAAACUCCGAAUGCUAAAUACAGUUCUUCAACAGACAGACUGUGGGUGCUAAGGUCCAUGGUCGAGAGGGAAAGAGCCCAGACCACCAGAUAAGGUCCCAAAAUUGUGAUUAAGUGUGAAAGGAUGUGGAAAUUCCAUAACAGCCGGGAGGUUGGCUUAGAAGCAGCCAUCCUUUAAAGAUAGCGUAACAGCUCACCGGUCUAACAGAGUUUCUGCGCCGAAGAUGUAACGGGGCUAAAAUCACAUACCGAAUCUGUGGGUUUAUAAAGUUUUCGAACUUUAUAAGCGGUAGCGGAACGUUCUGUAAGCCUGUAAAGGGAUACCCGUGAGGGAUCCUGGAGGUAUCAGAAGUGCGAAUGCUGACAUGAGUAACGAUAAAAGAAGUGAAAACUCUUCGCCGAAAAUCCAAGAGUUUCUGCGCAAGGUUAAUCCGCGCAGAGUUAGUCGGCCCUAAGGCGAGGGCGAAAGCCGUAGUCGAUGGAAAUAAGGUUAAUAUUCUUAACCAGAUGGUAGUGACGGAUUUUGUAAGUUGUACAUUCUUAAUGGAUUGAAUGUGCCGCGAAAAAGUCCCAGGAAAUAGCUCCAUCAUUAGACCGUACCCUAAACCGACACAGGUGGAUUAAUAGAGUAUAUUUAGGCGCUUGAGAGAAUGAUGUUGAAGGAACUCGGCAAAAUACUUCUGUAACUUCGGGAUAAAGAAGACCUUUUUUUAGGCAACUAAAAGAGGGUGGCACAAGCCAGGGAGAAGCGACUGUUUAUCAAAAACACAGGGCUCUGCUAACACGUAAGUGGAUGUAUAGGGUCUGACGCCUGCCCGGUGCUGGAAGGUUAAUGCGAUGGGUGCAAGCUCAUUUCUGAAGCCCCAGUAAACGGCGGCCGUAACUAUAACGGUCCUAAGGUAGCGAAAUUCCUUGUCGGGUAAGUUCCGACCUGCAUGAAUGGCGUAACGAUUUCUCCGCUGUCUCCAACAUCAACUCAGUGAAAUUGAAUUCUCCGUGAAGAUGCGGAGUUCGCGUAGUUAGACGGAAAGACCCCGUGCACCUUUACUGCAACUUUACAUUGGUAUUAGGAAAAACAUAUUUAGCAUAGGAGGGAGACAUUGAAGCGAUGGCGUCAGUUAUCGUGGAGUCACCAGUGAAAUACCUCUUUUGUUUUUCUUGAUAUCUAACUGAUUGCCGUUAUCCGGCAUCAAGACAUUGUAUGGUGGGUAGUUUGACUGGGGCGGUCGCCUCCCAAAUAGUAACGGAGGCGUGCGAAGGUAAGCUCAGAACGGUCAGAA
Molecule: ribosomal RNA, 1439 nt
Filed under: marine metagenome
Description: bacterial LSU rRNA
Rfam family: Bacterial large subunit ribosomal RNA
Source: RNAcentral